This 497-nucleotide ribosomal RNA is filed under the name uncultured bacterium. Its description in RNAcentral is "partial 16S ribosomal RNA". It matches the Rfam family "Bacterial small subunit ribosomal RNA", at positions 28 to 507 of the family's 1533-position model. The record is from RNAcentral.
GACGAACGCUGGCGGCGUGCCCAAUACAUGCAAGUUGAGCGCUGAAGGUUGGUACUUGUACCAACUGGAUGAGCAGCGAACGGGUGAGUAACGCGUGGGGAAUCUGCCUUUGAGCGGGGGACAACAUUUGGAAACGAAUGCUAAUACCGCAUAAAAACUUUAAACACAAGUUUUAAGUUUGAAAGAUGCAAUUGCAUCACUCAAAGAUGAUCCCGCGUUGUAUUAGCUAGUUGGUGAGGUAAAGGCUCACCAAGGCGAUGAUACAUAGCCGACCUGAGAGGGUGAUCGGCCACAUUGGGACUGAGACACGGCCCAAACUCCUACGGGAGGCAGCAGUAGGGAAUCUUCGGCAAUGGACGAAAGUCUGACCGAGCAACGCCGCGUGAGUGAAGAAGGUUUUCGGAUCGUAAAACUCUGUUGGUAGAGAAGAGCGUUGGUGAGAGUGGAAAGCUCAUCAAGUGACGGUAACUACCCAGAAAGGGACGGCUAACUACGUG